Molecule: long non-coding RNA, 444 nt
Filed under: Hordeum vulgare
Lineage: Eukaryota; Viridiplantae; Streptophyta; Magnoliopsida; Poales; Poaceae
Description: long non-coding RNA (HVUL_LNC001210)
Source: RNAcentral
AGAUCAUGGAGAACUUUGUAUUGAAGAUCCAAGAGAGAAAAGAAGCCAUUUAGCUACUAGCUAUGGACCCGAAGGUCUAUGGUGAACUACUCACGCAUCAUGGAGAGGUCAUGGUGUUGAUGAAGAAGCCCUCCGUAUCCGAAUCCCCCCUCCGACAGGGCACCAAAACGUGCCCCAGAUGGGAUCUUACAGAGACAGAAGCUUGCGGCGGCGGAAAAGUAUUUUCGUGUAUCUCCUCGGCAGUUUUGGAUAUUUCAGGAAUUUAUAGGCGGAAGCGGUAGGGUAGACGAGCCACAGGGGGCCCACAAGCCAGCUAGGUGCGGCCCCCCUGGCCGCGCCUAGGGGGCUUGUGGAGUCCCCUGGUGGCCUCUGCCUUGGUUCUCACGUCCCGUGCGUAUCUUCUGUUCCGAAAAAAAAUCUUUUCGGAAGUUUUAUUCCGUUUGG